Molecule: non-coding RNA, 72 nt
Organism: Bos taurus (domestic cattle)
Lineage: Eukaryota; Metazoa; Chordata; Mammalia; Artiodactyla; Bovidae
Source: Rfam
UCCCUGGUAUCUCAGCUGGUAGAGAAUUUGCCUGCAAUGCAGGAGACCCCGGUUCAAUUCCUGGGUUGCGAA